RNAcentral lists this unclassified non-coding RNA (304 nucleotides) under Stylophora pistillata. Its description in RNAcentral is "galactosylceramide sulfotransferase-like, transcript variant X2". The record is from RNAcentral. Lineage: Eukaryota; Metazoa; Cnidaria; Anthozoa; Scleractinia; Pocilloporidae.
UUCUGUAUGCGGCAUGCCAUGGUGACUUUUUCUCUUUGAAAGCCUUUAAAGAUCACUAAAGUAGGUCAGUUGAGAUGUUUCAACAUUUCAAGAGGGACUUCGCAUCGGGGGGGAGAAAGAACCAUUUUGAAACACUCCACUCCCUACUACCUUUAAAAAGAAUUCUUGGCCACCUUGGAAAUAAUACGUGAUCGAAGGAAAAAUCGCAGUCGCUGUACCACGCCCGACACUUGUCAACCAAAAGAGCACGUACUUUUCUUGAAAACUCACAAGACAGGAAGCAGUACAAUCACAAACAUACUCA